UACGUAGGGGGCAAGCGUUCUCCGGAUUUACUGGGUGUAAAGGGAGCGUAGACGGCAUGGCAAGUCUGAUGUGAAAACCCGGGGCUCAACCUCGGGACUGCAUUGGAAACUGUCAAGCUAGAGUGCAGGAGAGGUAAGUGGAAUUCCUAGUGUAGCGGUGAAAUGCGUAGAUAUUAGGAGGAACACCAGUGGCGAAGGCGGCUUACUGGACUGUAACUGACGUUGAGGCUCGAAAGCGUGGGUAG
Molecule: ribosomal RNA, 245 nt
Filed under: uncultured Lachnospiraceae bacterium
Lineage: Bacteria; Bacillati; Bacillota; Clostridia; Lachnospirales; Lachnospiraceae
Description: partial 16S ribosomal RNA
Rfam family: Bacterial small subunit ribosomal RNA
Source: RNAcentral